RNAcentral lists this transfer RNA (64 nucleotides) under Anolis distichus (bark anole). RNAcentral's name for it is "partial tRNA-Trp". The record is from RNAcentral. Lineage: Eukaryota; Metazoa; Chordata; Lepidosauria; Squamata; Anolidae.
CUUAGGAUACUAAAACCAAGGGCCUUCAAAGCCCUAAAAAAGGGUGUAAACCCCUUAGUUUUUG